AGAGAGAGACAUGCGUGCAUAUCAAUAAGCGGAGGAAAAGAAACUAACUAGGAUUCCCUCAGUAACGGCGAGUGAAGCGGGAAGAGCUCAAAUUUGAAAUCUUCAAGGUUCUACCUUGACGAAUUGUAGUUUAAAGAAGUGUUUUCUGUUGGAGUUUUGGUAAAAGUUCUUUGGAAUAGGACAUCAUAGAGGGUGAGAAUCCCGUAUUUGACCAUUAUUUCCAGCUUUGUGACUACACUUUCAAAGAGUCGGAUUGUUUGGGAAUGCAGUCCAAAAUGGGUGGUAAAUUUCAUCUAAAGCUAAAUACUGGCGAGAGACCGAUAGCGAACAAGUACCGUGAGGGAAAGAUGAAAAGAACUUUGAAAAGAGAGUUAAACAGUACGUGAAAUUGUCAAAAGGGAAGCGUUUGACACCAGUGUUGUUUUCUCGAAAAUCAAUUAAAAAAGGCAGGAUUUUGUGUUGUAUUGACUUUAUCAGCUUUCUGCACUCUUUUCUUGUCUUUUUUAAUGCACUUUUCGUUUAACAAGUCAACAUCAAUUUCUUUUGUUGUAAAAGGGUCAUUGGAAGGUGGCUUUCUUUUCGGAGAAAGUGUUUAUAGCCUUUGGCCUCUGCAAUCGGAGAGAUUGAGGUCUGCAGCGUAGAUCCUUCGGGGUUAGAUACAUUUGUGCUAAGUUAUAGCCUUUCAUAGACAACUUGUUGACUAUGAUCAGUCAUGUAGCUUACUCGCUUAUGCUAUUUUACCUACGCUUAGGAUGUUGAUGUGAUACUGCGAGCA
Molecule: ribosomal RNA, 775 nt
Filed under: uncultured Neocallimastigales
Lineage: Eukaryota; Fungi; Neocallimastigomycota; Neocallimastigomycetes; Neocallimastigales
Description: partial large subunit ribosomal RNA
Rfam family: Eukaryotic large subunit ribosomal RNA
Source: RNAcentral